CUCGGCAACGGAUAUCUCGGCUCUCGCAUCGAUGAAGAACGUAGCGAAAUGCGAUACUUGGUGUGAAUUGCAGAAUCCCGUGAACCAUCGAGUCUUUGAACGCAAGUUCCGCCCGAAGCCAUUAGGCUGAGGGCACGUCUGCCUGGGCGUCACGC
RNAcentral lists this ribosomal RNA (155 nucleotides) under Origanum onites. RNAcentral describes it as "5.8S ribosomal RNA". It matches the Rfam family "5.8S ribosomal RNA". Rfam says of the family: 5.8S ribosomal RNA (5.8S rRNA) is a component of the large subunit of the eukaryotic ribosome. It is transcribed by RNA polymerase I as part of the 45S precursor that also contains 18S and 28S rRNA. Functionally, it is thought that 5.8S rRNA may be involved in ribosome translocation. Lineage: Eukaryota; Viridiplantae; Streptophyta; Magnoliopsida; Lamiales; Lamiaceae. The record is from RNAcentral.